This 791-nucleotide ribosomal RNA is filed under the name uncultured bacterium. RNAcentral's name for it is "bacterial SSU rRNA". It matches the Rfam family "Bacterial small subunit ribosomal RNA", at positions 95 to 878 of the family's 1533-position model. The record is from RNAcentral.
GCGGCGCACGGGUGAGUAACGCGUAGAUAAUCUGCCCCUGAGACUGAGAUAACCCUGGGAAACCGGGGCUAAUACCGGAUGAAGCAUCAUUAUUGGAUUGAUGAUGUUAAAGUGGCGCAAGUCACACUUGGGGAUGAGUCUGCGACCUAUCAGCUAGUUGGCAGUGUAAUGGACUACCAAGGCGAAGACGGGUAGCUGGUCUGAGAGGAUGAUCAGCCACACUGGGACUGAGACACGGCCCAGACUCCUACGGGAGGCAGCAGUAGGGAAUAUUGCGCAAUGGACGAAAGUCUGACGCAGCGACGCCGCGUGAGUGAAGAAGGCCUUAUGGUUGUAAAGCUCUGUAAGGAGGGAAGAACCGCAAGUGGUAACGCACUUGUCUGACGGUACCUCCGAAGUAAGGACCGGCUAAAUACGUGCCAGCAGCCGCGGUAAUACGUAUGGUCCUAGCGUUGUCCGGAAUUACUGGGCGUAAAGGGUGUGUAGGCGGAUAUACAUGUCAGAUGUGAAAUCCCCCGGCUUAACCGGGGCACUGCGUUUGAAACUGUAUAUCUUGAGUAUGUCAGGGGUAAGCGGAAUUCCCGGAGUAGCGGUGAAAUGCGUAGAUAUCGGGAAGAACACCGGUGGCGAAGGCGGCUUACUGGGGCAUAACUGACGCUGAGGCACGAAAGCGUGGGGAGCGAACGGGAUUAGAUACCCCGGUAGUCCACGCUGUAAACGAUGGAUACUAGAUGUCAGUUGCAUUAAAGUGAUUGGUAUCGAAGCUAACACGCUAAGUAUCCCGCCUGGGG